GACGAACGCUGGCGGCAUGCCUAAUACAUGCAAGUCGAGCGGAGUUGACGAGAAGCUUGCUUCUCUGAUACUUAGCGGCGGACGGGUGAGUAACACGUCGGCAACCUGCCUUUCAGUUUGGGAUAACUUCCGGAAACGGAUGCUAAUACCGAAUACAUCAUCUUCUGGCAUCAGAGAAUGAGGUAAGACGGCGCAAGCUGUCACCGAGAGAUGGGCCUGCGGCGCAUUAGCUAGUUGGUGGGGUAAUGGCCAACCAAGGCGACGAUGCGUAGCCGACCUGAGAGGGUGAACGGCCACACUGUGACUGAGACACGGCCCAGACUCCUACGGGAGGCAGCAGUAGGGAAUCUUCCACAAUGGGCGAAAGCCUGAUGGAGCAAUGCCGCGUGAGUGAUGAAGGUUUUCGGAUCGUAAAGCUCUGUUGCCAGGGAAGAACGUCCGGGUGAGCAACUGCACCCGGAGUGACGGUACCUGAGAAGAAAGCCCCGGCUAACUACGUGCCAGCCGCCGCCGUAA
This 516-nucleotide ribosomal RNA is filed under the name uncultured bacterium. Its description in RNAcentral is "partial 16S ribosomal RNA". It matches the Rfam family "Bacterial small subunit ribosomal RNA", at positions 28 to 523 of the family's 1533-position model. The record is from RNAcentral.